This is a non-coding RNA of Picea glauca (white spruce), 74 nucleotides long. Lineage: Eukaryota; Viridiplantae; Streptophyta; Pinopsida; Pinales; Pinaceae. The record is from Rfam.
GGGUUGGUAGCUCAGUGGAUCAUAGCUCAUGGUUCCAGACCAUGAAUUCAAGGGUUAAAAUCCCUUCUAGCCCA